RNAcentral lists this ribosomal RNA (483 nucleotides) under Triticum aestivum (bread wheat). RNAcentral's name for it is "partial small subunit ribosomal RNA". The record is from RNAcentral. Lineage: Eukaryota; Viridiplantae; Streptophyta; Magnoliopsida; Poales; Poaceae.
AAAAAAGAGGGCGGUAAUAUGAUACCAAAUAGUAUGAUGAGGGAGUUCCGUGAAUGCCUCAUUGACUGUGAGCUGGAGGAUUUAGGUUACAUCGGCGAUCCUUUUACUUGGAGGAGAGGUGAUAUUCGAGAGCGUCUUGAUCGCACAGUGUGCAAUGUAUGGUGGGCUCAUAAAUUUCCUCAUGCAGUGCUGAUUAAUGCAGAACAUAUUCAUUCUGACCAUUGCCAACUAGUCCUGGACAUGGACUAUCUGGAUGAUAAUAUUUUCAGACGACCAACGGGACGUAUAAAUCAAUUUGAAGCUAGAUGGCUAAAAGAAGACAUUGUGAAUGAAAUCGUCAAGACAUCUUGGGAAAAAGCUAAGUUAGCGUGUAUUGGCCCUUCGCUGGCCGAUCAAGCGAGAGCCGUCCAUGCUCAUUUAAAUAAUUGGGAUCAUAAAACUCUUAAGGGACCUAAGCGGAGAAUUAAUAAAUUAAAGAAAUAA